Molecule: ribosomal RNA, 529 nt
Filed under: uncultured bacterium
Lineage: Bacteria
Description: bacterial SSU rRNA
Rfam family: Bacterial small subunit ribosomal RNA
Source: RNAcentral
AGAGUUUGAUCCUGGCUCAGAGUGAACGCUGGCGGUAGGCCUAACACAUGCAAGUCGAACGGCAGCACAGGAGAGCUUGCUCUCUGGGUGGCGAGUGGCGGACGGGUGAGGAAUACAUCGGAAUCUACCUUUUCGUGGGGGAUAACGUAGGGAAACUUACGCUAAUACCGCAUAAGACCUUCGGGUGAAAGCCGGGGACCUUCGGGCCUGGCGCGGAUAGAUGAGCCGAUGUCGGAUUAGCUUGUUGGCGGGGUAAAAGCCCACCAAGGCGACGAUCCGUAGCUGGUCUGAGAGGAUGAUCAGCCACACUGGAACUGAGACACGGUCCAGACUCCUACGGGAGGCAGCAGUGGGGAAUAUUGGACAAUGGGCGCAAGCCUGAUCCAGCCAUACCGCGUGGGUGAAGAAGGCCUUCGGGUUGUAAAGCCCUUUUGUUGGGAAAGAAAUCCAGCCGGUUAAUACCUGGUUGGGAUGACGGUACCCAAAGAAUAAGCACCGGCUAACUUCGUGCCAGCCGCCGCGGUAAUUC